GAAUGGAUUAAGAGCUUGCUCUUAUGAAGUUAGCGGCGGACGGGUGAGUAACACGUGGGUAACCUGCCCAUAAGACUGGGAUAACUCCGGGAAACCGGGGCUAAUACCGGAUAACAUUUUGAACCGCAUGGUUCGAAAUUGAAAGGCGGCUUCGGCUGUCACUUAUGGAUGGACCCGCGUCGCAUUAGCUAGUUGGUGAGGUAACGGCUCACCAAGGCAACGAUGCGUAGCCGACCUGAGAGGGUGAUCGGCCACACUGGGACUGAGACACGGCCCAGACUCCUACGGGAGGCAGCAGUAGGGAAUCUUCCGCAAUGGACGAAAGUCUGACGGAGCAACGCCGCGUGAGUGAUGAAGGCUUUCGGGUCGUAAAACUCUGUUGUUAGGGAAGAACAAGUGCUAGCUGAAUAAGCUGGCACCUUGACGGUACCUAACCAGAAAGCCACGGCUAACUACGUGCCAGCAGCCGCGGAUAAUACGUCAGGUGGCAAGCGUUAUCCGGAAUUAUUGGGCGUAAAGCGGCGCGCAAGGUGGUUCUCUUAAGUUCUAGAUUGUCGAAAGCCCCACGGCCUUCAACCGUGGAAAGGGUCAUUGGAAACUGGUGAGACUUGAGUGCAAGAAGAAGGAAAAGUGCAAUUCCCAUGUGUACGCGGUGAAAUGCGUAGAGAUAUGGAGGCAACACCAGUGGCGAAGGCGACUUUCUGGUCUUGUAACUGACCACGUGUGAGGCGCGAAAGCGUGGAGGAGCACACAGGAUUACGAUACGCUGGUAGUCAACGCCGUAAACGAUGACGUGCUAAGUGUUAGAGGGAUUCUGCCCUUUAGUGCUGAAGUUAACGCAUUAAGCCACUCCGCCUGGGGAGUACGGC
RNAcentral lists this ribosomal RNA (869 nucleotides) under bacterium. RNAcentral's name for it is "bacterial SSU rRNA". It matches the Rfam family "Bacterial small subunit ribosomal RNA", at positions 68 to 886 of the family's 1533-position model. The record is from RNAcentral.